RNAcentral lists this ribosomal RNA (505 nucleotides) under uncultured bacterium. RNAcentral describes it as "partial 16S ribosomal RNA". It matches the Rfam family "Bacterial small subunit ribosomal RNA", at positions 30 to 523 of the family's 1533-position model. The record is from RNAcentral.
AUUGAACGCUAGCGGCAUGCCUAACACAUGCAAGUCGAACGGCAGCACGAGGAGCUUGCUCCUUGGUGGCGAGUGGCGGACGGGUGAGUAACGCGUAGGAAUCUACCUUAUAGUGGGGGAUAACCCGGGGAAACUCGGGCUAAUACCGCAUAAUCUCUACGGAGCAAAGUGGGGGACCUUUUAGGCCUCACGCUAUUAGCUGAGCCUGCGUCGGAUUAGCUAGUUGGUGGGGUAAUGGCCUACCAAGGCGACGAUCCGUAGCUGGUCUGAGAGGAAGACCAGCCACACUGGGACUGAGACACGGCCCAGACUCCUACGGGAGGCAGCAGUGGGGAAUAUUGGACAGUGGGCGCAAGCCUGAUUCAGCAGUGCCGCGUGUGUGAGGAAGGCCCUCGGGUUGUAAAGCACUUUUAGUGGGGAAGAAAAAGUCGGAGAUAAUAUCUCCGAAAAUUGACGUUACCCACAGAAAAAGCACUGGCUAACUCUGUGCCAGCCGCCGCCGUAA